RNAcentral lists this long non-coding RNA (298 nucleotides) under Mytilus galloprovincialis (Mediterranean mussel). The record is from RNAcentral. Lineage: Eukaryota; Metazoa; Mollusca; Bivalvia; Mytilida; Mytilidae.
CAGUAGUCAGCACUUCUGUGUUGACUUGAGUUAUCAUUGAUAUGUUCAUAAUAAUAAAUUAACUGUUAACAAAACUUUGAAUUUUUGAAUUACUUAGGCUUUUCUACCUCAGGAAUAGAUUACCUUAGCUGUAUUUGGCAAAACUUUUAGGAAUUUUUGGUCCUCAAUGCUCUUCAACUUCGUAUUUUAUUUGGCCUUUAUUUAUAUUUUUUAUUCGAGCGUUACUGAUGAGUCUUUUGUAGACGCGCGUCUGGCGUAAGUGUAAAAUUUAAGUCCUGGUAUCUAUGAUGAGUUUAUU